UACAGAGGGGGCAAGCGUUGUUCGGAAUUACUGGGCGUAAAGGGCGCGUAGGCGGCCGCCUAAGUCAGACGUGAAAUCCCUCGGCUCAACCGGGGAACUGCGUCUGAUACUGGGUGGCUUGAAUCCGGGAGGGGGAUGCGGAAUUCCAGGUGUAGCGGUGAAAUGCGUAGAUAUCUGGAGGAACACCGGUGGCGAAGGCGGCUCUCUGGACCGAUACUGACGCUGAGGCGCGAAAGCGUGGGGAGCAAACAGG
Molecule: ribosomal RNA, 253 nt
Filed under: uncultured bacterium
Lineage: Bacteria
Description: partial 16S ribosomal RNA
Rfam family: Bacterial small subunit ribosomal RNA
Source: RNAcentral